This 269-nucleotide unclassified non-coding RNA is filed under the name Glomeraceae sp. RNAcentral describes it as "partial contains 5.8S ribosomal RNA and internal transcribed spacer 2". The stretch from base 1 to 65 matches the Rfam family "5.8S ribosomal RNA", at positions 84 to 154 of the family's 154-position model. The record is from RNAcentral. Lineage: Eukaryota; Fungi; Glomeromycota; Glomeromycetes; Glomerales; Glomeraceae.
GUGAAUCAUCAAAUUUUUGAACGCAAAUUGCAUUCUCCUCGGAGAGUAUGCCUGUUUGAGGGUCAGCCUAUAAAAAAUCGACAUCGUUGCUGUUUCGCGGUGGCGUUCGUCUGAAUUUGGGUCAUCUUAAAUCUUUUGGUUUUACGCGACUUAAAAUUUUCUUUUUGUUUCCAUGAACGUUUCUAAGAUUUAUUUCCUUACACUUUUAUGGUAUCGAUUUUUAUUAGACGUCACCUUCAUAUCUGUUCGCGCCCAUAAUCUUUCCUUCA